CGGGUCUUGUGCUCAAAUCUUGAAAUGUUAUAUAUAUUUUUCUCCAAACACAGUAGAAAAAAACGCAAGUGCAGUUUAUAGAAUCCCGCUUGUGUCAAAUCGCAGCCCGAGUCCUUUGUAGAAUAUUUAGGAGUCAAUAUCAUGAAAUAAAGCAGAGUAUACAGGGAGAUUCCUUUGGAAAUUAACAAUCGAUGUUAUAAAAUAUACAGUGGUAGGUCGAUUGGCAUUGGAAACAAGUGGAAGCAUCUCGCUCCGGUGGAAGAUCCAGUCUGCUGUUCUGGUAAAUCCAAGAUUUCCAGACUCAACACUGAACUGACUGAUGUCUGGGGAUGGAUAUUUUUUGCAGUGUUGCAAUCUACGGCUGGAGGGGCUGGGGGGCUCUGACAGGCACAAUUUACAUUGAGCUCGCCCCGCGCUGCUAUUUACUUUGAAACCUGAUUAGUAUGGGCCGUCUAUUGUCACCAAAAAGAGGAAGAAACCCUGAAUAGAAUAGCAGAAAAAGCGGGGUAAAGGCAAGGGGGGACAAAGCUUUUACGCACGACAAAUAAACCAAAAACUGUGCGCAGCGGCGAAAGGGGGACUCUGGCUCAGAAAUUCCCCAAAGUUUCAAAAUGGUUUGUCUUGGACUCGUAUCUUUAUUAUAAAAUUAACGGAUGUCAUUAUUGGUUUGAGGCGGAUUUAUAUUUCCACACGUUGUUUUGUCUUUGGCAUGCGCAUUGCGGUACAUCCUCGUCUGUAAUCGGCACAGUCUCGCUGAUUAAAACUUACAAUUUAGUUAAAACGAUCUUAUAAAGGGAGGAAAAUGUCAAUGGGGAGAAUGAUGCAUAAAAGACAGUGUGUUAUACAAACGUGAUGCCGUGCCAGCGGCCGAAAAUCUCUAAAAUUAGACGGAGCAAUAAGCAAUAUUCAAUAAUUACCGAGGUCCUAUAGUCUCCACAAUCACUGAGCUGGUGUCACAUUAUGUCUUAAUAAUGACAGUAAUUCAAAAUCAUGUGAAGUUGCUGGGAAUUUGCAUGGGGAUUCCGGCUUUUUUGUAUCAGGGUUUUUGCAGGCUUACUACCUCUCCAACUCAAAAAUGUCUGGAUCGCGCUGCCAUCUAGCGUACAUUGUACAAUUACAACCUCAUAUUAAUGCAUGCACAAGUCAUCAAACAUGAAUUUUUUAAACUUAAAAGUUGGUUUUAAAAAUAAAAUGAAGCCCAAUUUUGCGUGCCGGUUCCUCUCGUCUUUUUUGACUUUCUCAAAAGUGUGAUCUUUUUAUUAUAAGGAUGUAAAACGGAGAAAAAAACUUUGAAAGAAUAAUAAUAAAUAGAGAUUGUAUUACCAAAAUAUUAUAAUAGUCCCAAAAGUGCACUAGUUCUUUGAUAACAUGUGGUUAAGAUGGGACUUAAAGUCAAAAAGAUGUUCGUAAAUUAUCUCCAAAAACAUGAUAAUACACCAUGUUGCAAAAGAAUAACCAUUUAUAAAACAUCAAAUUCUUACUUAAUACAAAUAAACUAAGUUACUGUGCACAGGUCUUUAACCACACAAAGAUAUUAGCAGAUAUAACGGAGCGUAAAUAUGCAAGUGCCUCCUUUGGAAACGCAUAGGAGGGAUGGGUUGUUUUUUAAGUAUUCAACAAGAGAGCUCUCUCUCCCGUCCCUGUCUCGGACACUCCACUGAAACUCCCCGGCCAUAUCUCCAGCUCUUUGAAAAGGUGAAACCAAUAAGAUUAAAUCGGACAAAGAAUUUUUUUCUGUAAGUGUAUCAUUAAGAUUUAACUCCACAGAUUGGAAAGGGGGCUCCGCAGGAGAAGAGGAGAGGAGAGUGAGAGGGACAGCGAAUGGGAGCAGGGUAGGGGCUCUAAUAGAAAGCUGGGAAACGGCGAGAGAAAAAGGAGAAAGUGGACAGCAGGACAUUAAAAGAAGAAGGACCAGCGACGGCGGUUAGCAGUGGAGGAGCAGCUUUCUACCUGGAUAAAACCAGCCACCGAUAAAGGCAAAAAGCGACAUGGCGGCCAGGCAUUCGGAAACACAGCGGGACGUGUCGGUGUGGUGCAAGGACUGACACUGGGAUGAGAUGUAAUUUAUGGAGAGUGCUGUUUGAUUAUAGGACAGUGACGGUACUGCUUAGCAAGAGCGUCGGGCUCACUUAACGUGACAGCCCUGCACUGACAGGCCUUAUUGUACUUGAUCAUAUAUGUGGUGAAUAUAACAUUAAGUGUAAAUGAAUAGUCACUCUCAGGGUAGAUUCCUCUGAAUUUUAUUGCUCGGUUCAGAUUUUGUUUCUUUUAAUUCAGUGAAUUACUGGAGUGUGUGUUUAUCAAGUGCUAUCCCAAGCUUUUUCAACUCCGAAAUGAAUCCAAGCAUCCUGGAACUCAAAUUCUUUCUCAGUGAUUUGUUUUGGAAAAAGACCAUAGUGUGUUUUUUGGGAAACUGGCAGCUGAUCUUUUCAUAGCUAGAGGUCAACAUAACACUCAGUAUUAAUAAAACAAAUAAGACUAGGAUGGAUAUUAAUGAUGAUAUAUACAGAUGUACUGCGCAUGAGCUUGAGUUAUGUGUGAGAAGGAGCGCGAAGGAGAGACACUCUCACACGUUUGUGUGUUUAUUUGACUCUGUGUGUGUGUGUGUGUGUGUGUGUGUGUGAUAGCCGAGUCAGUUUCCCCUCAGAUGUUCCCUUGACCUUUGACCCCACUGUUGGGGUCAAGCCCUGACAAAUGAGAUGGUCGAGUUCUGGCCAGAACUGCAAACAUUCCACAACAAUCUUCUGUCCUCCUCCUCCCCUCUCCUCAUAUCCGUCAUUCCUCACCCCUUCACUCCUCUCAGUAUGUCUCCUCCACGACUUAGAGAGAGAGUCAGAGAAAGUUCUCAUUACACACAAGCAUGUUUUAUUGAAUUUGCUGUGGGAAUCUUAUAAAGCACACACCCUUCAAAUUAAGAAUUACAACAUCGGUUUAAUUUAAUAUCCCCGACAUCUGCCUUGUUUACAGUAGGAGAGAAAACAAAAAGAGUAUGAUCUUAGAGGAGAAGCUGUGUUAAAAGAUUUGGAUAUUACAAGCGUGCACUUUGAAAGCACACUGUGUGUGUUUGGAAAGCUUGUCAGUGAUGUCAAGGAUGAGAAAUGUUGCAGUGUGGUUUUUUACACACGCUGCUGGCUCUAGCAUUUCCGGCAACAUUUCUCACUCUGCCUCCCUCACACCAUCCGCUCUGCUGCAAUAUCCCCACAUUUUUCCAUCCUUUCACUUCUUCCCCUUCCCACCCUCCCUCCCCGUUCGCUUUCUCUCCACUCUCUGACCACUCUUGCUCCCUUUACCCUUCCUCUCGGCUGCACCACCCUGCCCAAUCUCAGCCGCUCCCUCCCUCCUCUCUCCUCCCAGCACAUUCACUCACCCACCCCCCUCCUCCUUUUUUCCUCCACCCACUAUUUUCUCUGAUUUUCUAACAUGCCGUUCCACAGAAUGCUACCACCUGUGUCUUUAGGGGGAAAAAAGGGGGGCUAUUGGUAUUCCUCUUUGGGAAGCUGGUUAAGGUAAGUGGCACCCUCUAUUACAAUGACACGGCAAAUAAUGGUUCUGCCUGUUGUGUUUCUGUAUUAACUUUCUUUUUUUCCAUGGAGUGACCCCGGCUUCCUAAGCAUCACCACCCUCCAUCAGAGCUCUAGCUACAAGUCACUGCUGUAAAAACACACACACAGUCACCAUCGAUGAAUGUCAGCAGAGCAGCCACAGUGCCACAAAGGAGCCUGGAGACCAACAAAGCCGGCUGAUACAGUAACGCUGAGUGGAUCAUGCUCUUGAACUUGCUUUCAUAAUGAUGUAAUAUUACUAAAAGGCAAUGCAACACAGCAAAGAUCUUAAUAAAAACACAUCAAUCUCGA
This is a long non-coding RNA of Epinephelus moara (kelp grouper), 3854 nucleotides long. RefSeq lists it as uncharacterized. Lineage: Eukaryota; Metazoa; Chordata; Actinopteri; Perciformes; Serranidae. The record is from RefSeq and is a predicted model, not a curated record. The transcript has 2 exons.